AGGCUGCAACUCGCCUGCAUGAAGUUGGAAUUGCUAGUAACCGCGAAUCAGAAUGUCGCGGUGAAUACGUUCCCGGGCCUUGUACACACCGCCCGUCACACCAUGAGAGUCGAUAACACCCGAAGCCUGUGAGCUAACCGUAAGGAGGCAGCAGUCGAAGGUGGGGUUGAUGAUUGGGGUGAAGUCGUAACAAGGUAAC
This 199-nucleotide ribosomal RNA is filed under the name uncultured bacterium. Its description in RNAcentral is "partial 16S ribosomal RNA". It matches the Rfam family "Bacterial small subunit ribosomal RNA", at positions 1302 to 1500 of the family's 1533-position model. The record is from RNAcentral.